This 623-nucleotide ribosomal RNA is filed under the name Clostridioides difficile. RNAcentral's name for it is "bacterial LSU rRNA". It matches the Rfam family "Bacterial large subunit ribosomal RNA", at positions 864 to 1494 of the family's 2925-position model. Lineage: Bacteria; Bacillati; Bacillota; Clostridia; Peptostreptococcales; Peptostreptococcaceae. The record is from RNAcentral.
AUAGCUUUAGGGCUAGCCUCAAGGUGAGAGAUACGGAGGUAGAGCACUGAAUGUCCUAGGGGGUAUUGCACCUACCGAAGACUAUCAAACUCCGAAUGCCGUCAUCUUAUACUUGGGAGUCAGACUGUGGGUGAUAAGAUUCAUAGUCGAAAGGGCAACAGCCCAGAUCGUCAGCUAAGGUCCCUAAAUGUAAGUUAAGUGGUAAAGGAUGUGGGAUUGCACAGACAACCAGGAUGUUGGCUUAGAAGCAGCCACUCAUUCAAAGAGUGCGUAAUAGCUCACUGGUCGAGUGAUCCUGCGCCGAAGAUUUCCGGGGCUAAAACUUACUACCGAAGCUACGGCAUCAGUAAUGAUGGGUAGGGGAGCUUCCCAUACGGGUUGAAGCAUGACCGUAAGGACAUGUGGACAGUAUGGGAGUGAGAAUGUUGGCAUGAGUAGCGAGAUGUGGGGGAGAAUCCCACAGGCCGUAAACCCAAGGUUUCCAGGGGAAGGUUCGUCCACCCUGGGUUAGUCGGGACCUAAGCUGAGGCCGAAAGGCGUAGGUGAUGGACAACAGGUUGAUAUUCCUGUACUACCGAUAACCGUUUGAGAGAAGGGAUGACACAGUAGGAUAAGCUAAGCAC